Molecule: long non-coding RNA, 4271 nt
Organism: Pogoniulus pusillus (Red-fronted tinkerbird)
Lineage: Eukaryota; Metazoa; Chordata; Aves; Piciformes; Lybiidae
Exons: 4
Source: RefSeq, a predicted model, not a curated record
AGUGCUGGGCCAGCAGCCAGGGGUGCUCCUGCCUGAGCCCCUGGGCCUGGCCCCACAGUGCCUGCUCCUCGUGCUGGGCCUUCUGCAGAGCUGUGCAGAGAGGUUCCGGAGGUGUCAGAACCCCCCAGAGCCACAGCCCCCCCCGAGCCCCACAGCCUCCGCCCUCAGCAGCCUGAGCCCAGGGCUCCCUCCCGCCCCUCCGGCGCCGAGCGCAAGGGGGCGCAGGUGCGGCAAGGCCCCGCCCAGAGCUGGCAGCCAGAGCCAAUGGGAGGCGUGGGCAGAGCGGCCCCGCCCCCAAGGGCGCUGUGGGCUCCGGCCCCAGGGGCGUGAGCGCCAUUUUGGCUGGUGCUGGGCAGCGUCGUGGGAGCGCUGGAGCAGAGGCUGUGGUGUGCGCGGGCAGCGCUGCGGGUGUGGAACGCUUAAGGAGACCCAGAAAGGUCUUGAAGUCUCUACAGAAGGAGUUGGAAGAGUUGCAGAAAGGUUUUAACAACUUCUGAUCCAGUUCCUGCUUCCUGAGCUACUGCUCUAGUUUCUGCAUCUAGAAUACAGCUCAAGCAUGAGAAGCAUUGCUGUGAGGCAGCAGCCAGAUGGAUCACUGUAAAGGUAGUGGCAUCUCAGGGCUCAGCCCAGCUGAGGAGCCUGAGAGAGCUGUCCCCAGGGAGGAGCAAGCUGCAGGCAGCUGAACGGCACAGAGAGACCCUUCAGCAGUACGUGGCAGGGGAGGUCUGUGCUGCAUGCUGUGGGCAUCACUGCUGAGGCUGCCACGGGAGCUUUUGUGCAGGCUGCUGUGGGAUGUGGGAGGCAGCUCUGGCUGUGCAGGUGAGAGCAGCUCAGUGCAAAGCCAGGGAGAGCUGAGGGCAGUGCAAGCAGGGAGGGAGAGACUUGCCUCCUGUGUGAGUGCCAUGAGUCACAGCAACUUGAUUGCAGAGUGGCACCCCAGGGGCACAGCUCUGCUGCUUGCCUUCACUCGUCCACAGAGCAUUGGGCAGAGGAGCCUGUGACUGCUGUCUGGGGCUGCUGGCAGACAAGGAAGAGCUCUUGCUCAGCUCACCUGAACUAAGGGCAAUGGAAGAUGCCAGGAGUCUGAAGCAGACUCAGUGGCUUGAGUCCAGCCCCAGCUCAUCACAAGCAGGAAACAGGAAUGGAGAUUGCUGGGGAGCAGGAAGGCAGCAGAGAGACAGACAGAGAGGAGCUGCCCCUGCUGUGAUGGGUCUGAGGCAGGAAGGGACAGUGGCUAAGCACCAAGCCCUGGGAGUGCUCAGCCCCACCCCUGAGGAGGGGUCAACAGCACCUGGGAUCAGGGUCAAGAUCACUGCCCCCAGGAGGGCUAACCCUGUACACUCUGUAGGGGUCUGUUAGGGUCUGCAAAGCUCUGUGAGGGGUCUGGAAGGGUCUGGAGGGGUACAUAAGGGUCUGCAGGGGUCUGGAUGGGUCUGGAAGGGGUCUGUGAGGAUCUGUGAGGGUCUGGGGGGAUUUGGAGGGAUCUGCAAUGGUCUGUAGGUAUCUAUAAAGGCUUGUAAAGGUCUGCAGAGAUCUGUAAAGGUCUGUGAGAUGUGCUAUGAAAUGAACCCCAAGGCUUCUGCAGAGUUGUGUGCAGGCAGGAAGGCUCCAUCCAUCCUGCCUCCCCCCUGCUGGCACAAGCCACAGUUGCUGUCCGCUGAGCUGCACAUCCAUAGUCAGAGGCAGGGUUGUCACAGUUGUUUCUGAGGGUUCAUUACCAGAGGCAUUUCCUCAUUCCCCACCCCCAUUCCCACCCACCCUGGUGGUCUGGAAGAGUUAUCCGCCAUGGGCACCCCACACAGCCUUCCUCCCAGGGUCUUUCUCAUCUCUGGUCAGCAGAAACUUCUUUGUCGCUUCUCGUAAUUGACAGACUCAAAAUUAAUUCAGUUCUAUCCUCCUCUGCUCUGCUCUGCUGAGACCCCACCUGGAGUACUGCAUUCAGCUCUGAAGCCCCUGGGACAAGAGGGAUGUGGAGAUGCUGGAGAGUGUCCAGAGCAGGGCCAGGAGGAUGCUCAGAGGGCUGGAGGUGAGGAGGAAGUUCUGCAGCAUGAGAGUGGUAUGAGCCUGCAAUGGGUUGCCCAGGGAGGGAGUUGAGGUCCCAUCCCUGGAGGUGUUUAAGGCCAGGCUGGAUGAGGCUGUGAGCAGCCUGCUCUAGGGUAAGGUGUUGUGGAGGGCCUGUGGGCCCGAAAGUAGGCUUACCUGUGCCUUAUCUUGCCUGGACAUGUUUUUCUGCCCAUAACCAGAGAUGAACACAUAACGAGCACAAAGGGGCACAACAGUCCUGGUGCCGUAAAGUCUGGCCUGCCCAGGCUUUCGGUUGUGUAAGCCCCACAUGCCCAGCUCAUGCCUGCCUAGUGUAAGGCCCGUGUGAUUCCCAUAUUUGGGAGGUCUAGGCCUGUAGCUUUUGCCUGUUGUGGUAAGGUUGGGCUGACUGCCAACCUGAUUGGUCAUUCUAGUGGCCAAGGAGCCAUUAAUCUCGGCCCACAUUUAAUAAAUACAGGUCAACAACGUGCUUGGGCUCCCCUGCAUGCUCGCUGAGACUCACCAGCACUGAUUUUGUUUAUGCCUGCCUGCAUACCUGUUUGUUUUGCUGUUAUUACUGAGAGAGAAUCUCCCAUAGUCUCCCAUGCAGCCGUGCACCCUACUGCACGCCCCCUGCCGCCUUAUUGCCUGGUGCAUGCCACUGCAGCCGAAUUACCAGGAAGCAGUCUCUGAAUUGUCUGCAUGCAAUCCGCCUGCAUGGCCAGCGUUACAUCAUGCUGAGACAGCACAACAUCCUGCCUCUGCACCUGAAGGUCUGUAUAGGGUUAACACUCCUGGGGGAGUAACCCUGAACCUGACCCUAGGGGUCUGGGCCACACUCCAGGUGAUGGUUAGCCCACUCCCCCCACUUCCUGUGGUAUAAAAGAGACAGGAGCUGCCUGUCUCAUGCUCUUUUUCCUCCGCUACCUCCUGACCCACACACUCAUACUGCAUACCAGCACACCACGUGGCAGCCACGAGGCAGAGACACCAUCACACUACUCAGGUUGUAUCCAUCCCUUUUUUGUAUCUUGCUGUUUUCCCUUCCUUAUCCUUUGUAAACUCCCCUACCUCCAAUCCCUUUUCUAAGUUAUUGUUAAACUUUUCCUUUUUUAACUUCCAAAUCGAGUGAGAUUGAUUGAUUUGGGUGUCCCUACCUUUCUCUCUCUCCCUGUCUUUUGGGAAAAGGAGGGGGAAGAGGGGAGGGCACUCUAUAAAUUCUAUAAAUUGUCAUUGGGUCUAUUAAAUUUCUUAGAGUCUCUGGGGAACCUGCAUUUGAACCCAAGACAAGGCCCUGCCUAAGAAUCCCUGGACAGCGCAUCCAGAAGAAGCCAGCAGCACAAGGUCAGAGACUGUCUUUUCCCCAGAAGCUGGGAGAAUUCCAGCCUCAGAGUCCCCAGGCAAAGCUCCCCUGAAAUGUGGACACUUGCAUAGGCUGUGAUGUAGCCCUGGAGGGUGAUUGAUAAUUAAUAAAAAAUUGUAAGUGAACACUUUAAUGCCUCUGUGAUUCCUGUUGUCUCUUGCCAUAGAGCAGAAAGAGCUUUCAGCCUACCUGCUGGGCAAAGCUGCAUAUUGACCCCAAGCAGCACUGAGCUGCGGGGAAAGUCCUCUCUCUGUUUAUAGUUUGGAUUGUUUGAUAGUUGUUAGUAAGUGAUGGUUUGAUAUUAAUCCUAGAAUGUCCUUCAUAACCAUGUAGGAUCCUUUUGUGAGAAAUAGAUGUUUGAUCUGAUCAAUUCAUGGCAAGAGGCCACAGACAGGUAGGGGAACUUUGAAUGGAGCUGCACUCCUCCUUGCACCACCAUCACAAAAGUGUGCGCUUGGCUUAAGAUAACGGAGUUAUAAACAAUUAGAAACUAGAAAGGUUGGUGGAGGAGGGAGGCAGGUGGAAGAGACAGCCUUUGCACAUGAGCAAACAGAGGAAGAGCCAUACAAAGGACACUACUAGUUUGGAGUUCAUGGAAAAGACACUUGAGGAAGACCCCUUACUUCAUCACUGAAGACCACCAGAGGGACCACUGGAUAAAAAGAGACAUGCGUGGAAGAGACACCUCCCAUUCUUGGAACUGAUAAGGAAAAUCCAACCUGUUCUUAGAAUUAGUAAUGAAUAUGUAAUAGAAUAGGAUAUAAAAAGAGAGAACUGAAAACAAAGGCUGUGUGUUAGGGUAGAGCAGAGCCUCCCUGUGCACCCAGGCCUGUACAUUGCUUGAUGCUUAUGACUCUAUUAAAAGCCUUAUUUUCUGUGAACAUAA